RNAcentral lists this ribosomal RNA (609 nucleotides) under uncultured bacterium. Its description in RNAcentral is "bacterial SSU rRNA". It matches the Rfam family "Bacterial small subunit ribosomal RNA", at positions 338 to 950 of the family's 1533-position model. The record is from RNAcentral.
CCUACGGGAGGCAGCAGUGAGGAAUAUUGGACAAUGGGCGCAAGCCUGAUCCAGCCAUGCCGCGUGCAGGAUGACGGUCCUAUGGAUUGUAAACUGCUUUUAUACAGGAAGAAACACCUCUACGUGUAGAGACUUGACGGUACUGUAAGAAUAAGGAUCGGCUAACUCCGUGCCAGCAGCCGCGGUAAUACGGAGGAUCCAAGCGUUAUCCGGAAUCAUUGGGUUUAAAGGGUCCGUAGGCGGUUUAGUAAGUCAGUGGUGAAAGCCCAUCGCUCAACGGUGGAACGGCCAUUGAUACUGCUAGACUUGAAUUAUUAGGAAGUAACUAGAAUAUGUAGUGUAGCGGUGAAAUGCUUAGAGAUUACAUGGAAUACCAAUUGCGAAGGCAGGUUACUACUAAUUGAUUGACGCUGAUGGACGAAAGCGUGGGUAGCGAACAGGAUUAGAUACCCUGGUAGUCCACGCCGUAAACGAUGGAUACUAGCUGUUGGGAGCAAUCUCAGUGGCUAAGCGAAAGUGAUAAGUAUCCCACUGGGGAGUACGUUCGCAAGAUGAAACUUAGAAAGUAGUGACGNGNGAGAGACGACGACGACGACGACGGAGGAGGAG